GGAGAGGUGCCGGAGUGGUCGAACGGGGCGGUCUCGAAAACCGUUGACCCUGCAAGGGGUCCCAGGGUUCGAAUCCCUGUCUCUCCGCCA
This 90-nucleotide transfer RNA is filed under the name Salipiger marinus. RNAcentral's name for it is "tRNA_Ser_CGA". It matches the Rfam family "tRNA". Rfam says of the family: Transfer RNA (tRNA) molecules are approximately 80 nucleotides in length. RNAcentral also lists the same sequence under 9 other names. The record is from RNAcentral. Lineage: Bacteria; Pseudomonadati; Pseudomonadota; Alphaproteobacteria; Rhodobacterales; Roseobacteraceae.